AUACGUAGGUGGCGAGCGUUGUCCGGAAUUACUGGGCGUAAAGGGUGCGUAGGCGGAUAUUUAAGUCAGAUGUGAAAUUCCCGGGCUCAACCUGGGAAGUGCAUUUGAAACUGGGUAUCUAGAGUGCAGGAGAGGGAAGCGGAAUUCCUAGUGUAGCGGUGAAAUGCGUAGAUAUUAGGAGGAACACCAGUGGCGAAGGCGGCUUACUGGUCCAUUACUGACGCUGAGGUGCGAAAGCGUGGGGAGC
RNAcentral lists this ribosomal RNA (247 nucleotides) under uncultured bacterium. RNAcentral describes it as "partial 16S ribosomal RNA". It matches the Rfam family "Bacterial small subunit ribosomal RNA", at positions 523 to 769 of the family's 1533-position model. The record is from RNAcentral.